UUGGAAAUGGCAUGGCCUAUUAUUUAAACUCUAAGGAUAAAAUUAAAAUUACAUAUUAUUCAGGUUAAAUGGAAUUUUUUCCUUUUUUUCCCCACCAAUUACUUUUGCAAUGCAUUGCCUGAUCAUUUUUUUAUUAUUUUAUUAUUAUUAUUAUUAUUAUUAUUAUUACACGCUACAUAAUUUUUCUUCACAUUUUUUUUAUAUGGUUUUCAUUUACUCAACUCAUACGCAAAUUUCCCACAAAAUCGAAUUAUACACUAACUCAACUGUAAUAAAUUCAUGCCAGGCUACUUUUAAAAUUACAGUUGAUAUUUCGCAUUUUUUUUCCCACCAAGCACGCAAUUCAUUACCUUAAAUCCACUUCCAAAUAUUUUCGUCACUAUUUUCGAAAUUUUCAAAUCAUUCUAACCCCAACCCAUACUUGCACGCUUCCAACUUCUUGCUUUUAACCAAUACUUGCAUGCACUUUUUUUAAUUAUUUUACAUGCGUUACUGUUACAACUUCCAACCACUACAGGCGUUUUUUUGGUCAAAAAGUUGAUUCCCUGCAGUGUUACCGGCCCAUUACCUUUAUCUCAAGUUACUCUCUUGCGUCUGUGUGUCUCUUCUGCAGCCACGAGAUGAAAUCUAACGGUGACCAUGCUACAAGACAAACGACUUGGGUACGAAACCCAUGACGCAAAGUAGCUGCGGCCUAAGUAAAAAAGUGAUUCUCAAAAUCAAAAUUUGAAAAGUUAUACCUUCCCUGCUUUUCAGAAACUAUUAUAGAAUGGGGUGAUUUUUCUAAAAGUGAUUUUUAAAAUAUUUAUCAAACACUAAAAUUGGCUUUCACCUUUUUAAAAUCACUUUUAAACCUCCUAAAAGUAAUCACAAAAUGUACCUUAAGGGCCAGUUUGAGAAUGUUGUAACUUUUAAAAUAAUUAUUGUUAGUUGUGCUGUAGAAAUAAUCAGCUGUGAAGAAAAUCAGUUAAGUGCUUGGUAAAAUUUGUUUUUAGAAGUAUUGUGAGUUUUAAAAGCAGUUGUGGACGUUUGGUAAAUUUUAUUUUUUAAACUACUGAGAGAAAACAAAUGACUAAAAUGUACAUAAUGUAGGAUAAAAUUUACUUAUACAUAUAAAAUCAUGUACAUUUAA
This 1132-nucleotide long non-coding RNA is filed under the name Citrus x clementina. RNAcentral's name for it is "Citrus clementina (C. clementina) long non-coding RNA (CCLE_LNC002987)". Lineage: Eukaryota; Viridiplantae; Streptophyta; Magnoliopsida; Sapindales; Rutaceae. The record is from RNAcentral.